GCUACAACAUCCUAAUAGAAGAAAAAAAUUGUUUAGAGAGGAGAAAGAGAUAAAAAGUACAGAACUUUGAAACAAGAAAGAAAGCAUAUGCGCCAGGAGAAAGAAAAAUUCAUAAGAGAUUUCUUAUGGACUUAGAAAACACGGAUGACAGUGAGGAUUUCAUUAACUAGAGCUUAUGAGUUGGCAUAUUUCUUAUGAGCCCCGCAUUUGUUUGCGUGGGUGAAGACUUAUUUAUGUGUUAUGAUUUUUUUGAAACUCUUAAUGUCUCUCCUUAGUCAUUUCCUCUAUUAGUGUCAUGAAUAUUCUUUCAUAUUAUAUACUUAUGAAGUAUUGACCUUCUUCUUA
This is a long non-coding RNA of Capsicum annuum, 345 nucleotides long. RefSeq lists it as uncharacterized. The record is from RefSeq and is a predicted model, not a curated record. The transcript is spliced from 2 exons. Lineage: Eukaryota; Viridiplantae; Streptophyta; Magnoliopsida; Solanales; Solanaceae.